CCUACGGGAGGCAGCAGUGGGGAAUGUUGGACAAUGGGCGCAAGCCUGAUCCAGCUAUUCCGCGUGUGGGAAGACGGCCUUCGGGUUGUAAACCACUUUUGUAGAGAACGAAAAGUCUGUUGAUAAUACCGAUAGAUGAUGACGGUACUCUAAGAAGAAGCACCGGCUAACUACGUGCCAGCAGCCGCGGUAAUACGUAGGGUGCGAGCGUUAAUCGGAAUUACUGGGCGUAAAGGGUGUGCAGGCGGUUUUGCAAGAUGGAUGUGAAAGCCCCGGGCUUAACCUGGGAAAGCCAUACAUGACUGCAAGACUAGAGUGCGUCAGAGGGGGGUGGAAUUCCAAGUGUAGCCGUGAAAUGCGUAGAUAUUUGGAAGAACACCGAUGGCGAAGGCAGCCCCCUGGGACGCAACUGACGCUCAUCCACGAAAGCGUGGGGAGCAAACAGGAUUAGAUACCCUGGUAGUC
RNAcentral lists this ribosomal RNA (465 nucleotides) under uncultured bacterium. Its description in RNAcentral is "partial 16S ribosomal RNA". It matches the Rfam family "Bacterial small subunit ribosomal RNA", at positions 338 to 795 of the family's 1533-position model. The record is from RNAcentral.